This 240-nucleotide unclassified non-coding RNA is filed under the name soil metagenome. Its description in RNAcentral is "partial contains 5.8S ribosomal RNA, internal transcribed spacer 2, and large subunit ribosomal RNA". The record is from RNAcentral.
AACGGUCUAUACCUGCGGUACCUGCGGAGGGAUCAUUAUUGAAUAAAUAUGGUGGGUUGUAGCUGGCUUCUUGAAGCAUUGUGCACACCUGCUGUCUUUAUCUAUCCCUCUGUGCACCUUUUGUAGUCCUUGGAAGAGCAUGGCAUUAGAUCCUGAUGUGUGAAGUGAAGUGAAUUCCUUCCCCCAGGUAGUUGUCUCUUCUGGGUCUAUGUUUUUGCAUAUACCCAUAUUGUAUGUUGU